RNAcentral lists this unclassified non-coding RNA (240 nucleotides) under soil metagenome. RNAcentral describes it as "partial contains 5.8S ribosomal RNA, internal transcribed spacer 2, and large subunit ribosomal RNA". The record is from RNAcentral.
AACGCACGAGACCUGCGGACCUGCGGAGGGAUCAUUACUGAGGAGGGUCCAUGGCCCGAUCUCCAACCCUUUGAUAAAAACACCAUGUUGCUUUGGCAGGCCCGCCCGUUGGGGCCGCGGGGGAUCGCCGGUCCCUAGCCCGUGCCUGCCGGUAGCCUUCACAAAACUCUCAAAAUGUUGUCGUCUGAGAUGAUUAGAAUAAUAAAACUUUUAGCAACGGAUCUCUAGAUCGGAAGAGCA